Molecule: ribosomal RNA, 619 nt
Filed under: Solicoccozyma terrea
Lineage: Eukaryota; Fungi; Basidiomycota; Tremellomycetes; Filobasidiales; Piskurozymaceae
Description: eukaryotic LSU rRNA
Rfam family: Eukaryotic large subunit ribosomal RNA
Source: RNAcentral
AAUAAGCGGAGGAAAAGAAACUAACAAGGAUUCCCCUAGUAACGGCGAGUGAAGCGGGAAAAGCUCAAAUUUGAAAUCUGGCAGCCUCAGGUUGCCCGAGUUGUAAUCUAUAGAAACGUUUUCCGCGUUGGCCCAUGUACAAGUCUCCUGGAAUGGAGCGUCAUAGAGGGUGAGAAUCCCGUCCUUGACAUGGACUACCAGUGCUUUGUGAUACGUUUUCAAAGAGUCGAGUUGUUUGGGAAUGCAGCUCAAAAUGGGUGGUAAAUUCCAUCUAAAGCUAAAUAUUGGCGAGAGACCGAUAGCGAACAAGUACCGUGAGGGAAAGAUGAAAAGCACUUUGGAAAGAGAGUUAAACAGUAUGUGAAAUUGUUGAAAGGGAAACGAUUGAAGUCAGUCAUGUCUAUUGGACUCAGCCGGUUCUGCCGGUGUACUUCCUUUAGAUGGGGUCAACAUCAGUUUUGAUCGCUGGAAAAGGGCAGGAGGAAUGUAGCACUCUCGGGUGAACUUAUAGCCUUCUGUCGUAUACAGUGGUUGGGACUGAGGAACGCAGCAUGCCUUUAUGGCCGGGGUUCGCCCACGUACAUGCUUAGGAUGUUGACAUAAUGGCUUUAAACGACCC